RNAcentral lists this ribosomal RNA (253 nucleotides) under uncultured bacterium. RNAcentral's name for it is "partial 16S ribosomal RNA". It matches the Rfam family "Bacterial small subunit ribosomal RNA", at positions 524 to 776 of the family's 1533-position model. The record is from RNAcentral.
UACGUAGGUGGCAAGCGUUGUCCGGAUUUACUGGGCGUAAAGGGAGCGUAGGCGGACUUUUAAGUGAGAUGUGAAAUACCCGAGCUCAACUUGGGUGCUGCAUUUCAAACUGGAAGUCUAGAGUGCAGGAGAGGAGAAGGGAAUUCCUAGUGUAGCGGUGAAAUGCGUAGAGAUUAGGAAGAACACCAGUGGCGAAGGCGCUUCUCUGGACUGUAACUGACGCUGAGGCUCGAAAGCGUGGGGAGCAAACAGG